This 399-nucleotide ribosomal RNA is filed under the name uncultured bacterium. RNAcentral's name for it is "partial 16S ribosomal RNA". It matches the Rfam family "Bacterial small subunit ribosomal RNA", at positions 338 to 734 of the family's 1533-position model. The record is from RNAcentral.
CCUACGGGUGGCAGCAGUGAGGAAUAUUGGUCAAUGGACGAGAGUCUGAACCAGCCAAGUAGCGUGAAGGAUGACUGCACUAUGUGUUGUAAACUUCUUUUAUAUGGGAAUAAAAUGUUCCACGUGUGGGCUUUUGUAUGUACCAUAUGAAUAAGGAUCGGCUAACUCCGUGCCAGCAGCCGCGGUAAUACGGAGGAUCCGAGCGUUAUCCGGAUUUAUUGGGUUUAAAGGGAGCGUAGGUGGGUUGUUAAGUACGCUGUGAAAGCUUGGGGCUCAACCGUAAUAGUGCAGUUGAAACUGGCAGUCUUGAGUAGAGUAGAGGUAGGCGGAAUGCGCGGUGUAGCGGUGAAAUGCUUAGAUAUCGCGAAGAACUCCGAUUGCGAAGGCAGCUCACUGGAC